RNAcentral lists this ribosomal RNA (1315 nucleotides) under Metarhizium album ARSEF 1941. Its description in RNAcentral is "Bacterial small subunit ribosomal RNA". It matches the Rfam family "Bacterial small subunit ribosomal RNA", at positions 202 to 1533 of the family's 1533-position model. The record is from Rfam by way of RNAcentral. Lineage: Eukaryota; Fungi; Ascomycota; Sordariomycetes; Hypocreales; Clavicipitaceae.
CAAAGGGAUUCCCGCUUUAAGAGGACGAUAAAUAUUGACGAGAUAGGUAGUAGUGAAGGUUAUGUCUUCACUAGCCUUAACUCUCGUAGUCGAAGCUGAAAGGUUAAUCGACCACAUUGGGUCUGAAAAAAACCCAAUGCAAGUUAGUACAGCAGUGAGGAAUCUUGGUCAAUGGCCUAACGGCUGAACUGGCAACUUGGAGAAGUGGCAAGUCUUAUUUUGAUUAUAUUAUUAUAUAUAAUCUAUAAGAUUGUAUUAAAAUUGAAUAAAGCUUUGUUUAUAUAUUGAUAAUGACGGUAUAUAUAUCGUGUCUUGGCUAAUUACGUGCCAGCAGCCGCGGUAAUACGUAAGAGACUAGUGUUAUUCAUCUUAAUUAGGUUUAAAGGGUACUCAAACGGUCAAUUAAAAGACUAGAGUUAUAUAGAAGAAGGUAGUACCUUAAGUGUAGAGAUUAUAUUUGGUUACUCUAUGUAAAAACUGACGUUGAAGAACGAAGGCACAGAGCACAAACAGGAUUAGAUACCCAAGUAGUCUUUGCAGUAAAUGAUGAAUGCCAUAGGUUAGAUUAAGCUUUAAUAUAUUAGUUUAUCAGUAGUAAACUAACUAUUCAACAAUAUUUAGUCUAUAAAUGAAAGUGUAAGCAUUCCACCUCAAGAGUAAUGCGGCAACGCAGGAACUGAAAUCACUAGACCGUUUCUGACACCAGUAGUGAAGUAUGUUGUUUAAUUCGAUGAUCCACGAAAAACCUUACCACAAUUUGUAUAUUUUACAGGAGUUGCACGGCUGUCUGCAGUUGAUGUUGUGAAACUAUGGUUUCCAUGAAUUAACACAAUCCCUUGCUUUAUUUUUGUAUUAUAAGCUUUGCUUAUUAAUUACUAUAAAGCAUUUAACUCAAGAAUAUGGGAAGAAAAAAGGGAGUAAGACNNNNNNNNNNNNNNNNNNNNNNNNNNNNNNNNNNNNNNNNNNNNNUAGACGUGCCACAUAAGCCUAUACAAAGAGAUGCAAAAAUGUGAAUUCUAGCAAAUCUCCAAAAUAGGAAAUAAAAAGGAUUGUAGUCUGAAAUUCGACUAUAUGAAUAAGUAAUUACUAGUAAUCGUGAAUCACCAUGUCACGGUGAAUGUAUCUCGGAUUGGUACUAACCACUCGUCGCAUGCUGAAAGGAGUUUAUACAAUAAGUUUGCUCUUUUAUAGUAACAAAAUAAAAUAAUUAGAUUUUAUAAAUAUUAUUAUAGAAUUCUUCGUAUGUAUAGCUCUAAUUAGUGUUAAGUCGAAAUACGGUUCGCGUAGUGGAAGUUGCGCGGGAAUAAUUAAUUUU